This is a long non-coding RNA of Helianthus annuus (common sunflower), 571 nucleotides long. RefSeq lists it as uncharacterized. NCBI's taxonomy places the organism in Eukaryota, Viridiplantae, Streptophyta, Magnoliopsida, Asterales, Asteraceae. The record is from RefSeq and is a predicted model, not a curated record. The transcript has 6 exons.
AGACAAAUCAGGUGGUAUUUUCUUGCCAACGUGCUGGUAAGUGAUAAUUCGAGUAGAUGCAAAUCAUAUGGUGCCUCGCCUAUUCAACUUUUUCAUGUGAUGGCCUGAUAGGUUGCAUAUAGAAUUAGCCAGACUCAAGUUGAUACAUUCUCAUGAGCUGACUUCUACACAAAAGAUAGUUAUACUACAUGCUACCCCUACCAUUAUGAAACAAGUUCCCAUUUGACUUUUGAGGUGAUAGAUUCGCUAAAGACAGCCUCAUGCUUAAUAUAGAGAAAUUCCAUGAACGAAUUCCAUCUAUACCUUCUGAGCUAAAAAGAUGUUCCAAAUAAAUUUAAGGAGAUCUACAAUUUUGCAUUCGCCUGAGCAAAGGAGAGUUUACAUCAGUUCUCCGGUUGAUGUUGUAGUGAUGAAGUAUGCUACAAGAAUGGAGGGCCACUUUCAACUCAUCUAACGUUUUAUGUGUGCCUGUUUGAUAUAAAGCACAACCCAUUUCAUUCAUUAAUAUAACUUUGUAUUUUAUUUUUUUAUACACUUUAGAUUUAUAUAAUUUAAAAUGAUUUCAAAGGUA